Molecule: non-coding RNA, 125 nt
Organism: Hordeum vulgare subsp. vulgare (domesticated barley)
Lineage: Eukaryota; Viridiplantae; Streptophyta; Magnoliopsida; Poales; Poaceae
Source: Rfam
AAAAUACUCACCCCGUCCGGAAUUACUUGCCACAAAAAUGAAUAGAAAUGGAUGUAUUUAGAACUAAAAUGCAUCUAGAUACAUCCAUUCCUCCAACAAGUAUUUCCGGACGGAGGGAGUAGUAA